UUGGAGGGCAAGUCUGGUGCCAGCAGCCGCGGUAAUUCCAGCUCCAAUAGCGUAUAUUAAAGUUGUUGCAGUUAAAAAGCUCGUAGUUGAACUUCGGGGUUCACCCAUUGGUCAGGCUUAAUUGUCUGUACUGGUGAGAUGAGUCUCUACCUUCUGAGGAACUUUCAUGCCAUUUAUUUGGUGUGGUUGGAAAUCAGGACUGUUACUUUGAAAAAAUUAGAGUGUUUAAAGCAGGCUAACGUCUGAAUACAUUAGCAUGGAAUAAUGAAAUAGGACGGAUUGAUUCUAUUUCGUUGGUUUCUAGGGUCACCGUAAUGAUUAAUAGGGAUAGUUGGGGGCAUUAGUAUUCAAUUGUCAGAGGUGAAAUUCUUGGAUUUAUUGAAGACUAACUACUGCGAAAGCAUUUGUCAAGGAUGUUUUCAUUAAUCAAGAACGAAAGUUAGGGGAUCGAAGACGAUCAGAUACCGUCGUAGUCUUAACCAUAAACUAUGCCGACUAGGGAUCGGACGCAGUUAAUUUUAUAAUGACGUGUUCGGCACCUUACGGGAAACCAAAG
This 556-nucleotide ribosomal RNA is filed under the name uncultured Glomus. RNAcentral describes it as "SSU rRNA". It matches the Rfam family "Eukaryotic small subunit ribosomal RNA", at positions 548 to 1103 of the family's 1831-position model. The record is from RNAcentral. Lineage: Eukaryota; Fungi; Glomeromycota; Glomeromycetes; Glomerales; Glomeraceae.